Molecule: ribosomal RNA, 441 nt
Filed under: uncultured bacterium
Lineage: Bacteria
Description: partial 16S ribosomal RNA
Rfam family: Bacterial small subunit ribosomal RNA
Source: RNAcentral
CCUACGGGCGGCUGCAGUGGGGAAUAUUGCACAAUGGGGGAAACCCUGAUGCAGCGACGCCGCGUGAGCGAGGAAGUAUUUCGGUAUGUAAAGCUCUAUCAGCAGGGACGAAAAAGGACGGUACUUGACUAAGAAGCACCGGCUAACUACGUGCCAGCAGCCGCGGUAAUACGUAGGGGGCAAGCGUUAUCCGGAUUUACUGGGUGGAAAGGGAGCGUAGACGGCAAGGCAAGCCAGAAGUGAAAGGGCAGGGCUCAACCCUGUACAUGCUUUUGGAAGUGUGGUGUUAGAGUGCAGGAGAGGUAAGUGGAAUUCCUAGGGUAGCGGUGAAAUGCGUAGAUAUUAGGAGGAACACCAGUGGCGAAGGCGGCUUACUGGACUGUAACUGACGUUGAGGCUCGAAAGCGUGGGGAGCAAACAGGAUUAGAUACCCUUGUAGUC